This is a long non-coding RNA of Betta splendens (Siamese fighting fish), 876 nucleotides long. RefSeq lists it as uncharacterized. Lineage: Eukaryota; Metazoa; Chordata; Actinopteri; Anabantiformes; Osphronemidae. The record is from RefSeq and is a predicted model, not a curated record. The transcript is spliced from 2 exons.
CCGAGCUGGCCCGCUACCUUGUGACUGUGGAAUGCAAAGCCACUAAUAUUUUGACCUCCGUCCUGGAAACGGCUGCGUUUACCUUUUUCAAAGAUAUUUUUCCCUUAUUUAUCGGAUCCCUCAGGAGAGAUCCAUCUCCCGGCCCUGACGCCGGCUUCCUCCUCUACAUCUGAGACCGGACCGGCGGAGCCCAGACGCGCGCUUGCACGCGCGCGCACGCUCACACAUGCGCACCUGCUGCCCCGGAGCGGACGCUGGGCGCAGAUCGCUAUAGCAGGCGUCUCUGACGGGAACGGGUACGUGAGGAAGAAGCGGACACGGAAACGGGAUUCCCGACGACCACCGCCCUUAUUGACGCGGCAUGAAUGAAACGAGUCCUCCCAAAAACCUCCCCGUCGCGAACCGCGGGAGCGCACGUGCGCUCACGGGGCGUCCACGCGGCCGAGGUAGCCGUUAGUGAGCGGGGCGGCACCGCGAGCAGCCGUCGUCGGUCGCAUAAAUCGCAGAGCAAAUGGAGCCGAACAUCAAGGACGCAGAGUCUUUCUGGAGCGAGGAACAAGAGCUUCUUUUCCCCUAAUAAUCGGACCUCUUUGCCGCGAUGCGUCAAAUGCGUUUUCAAGGACUACAUGGAGGAUGAACCAUGCGAUGCUACGGUUCCAAUGGGCCGUUUGUUCCUGGGAAUGCCUGUCCAGUGUGGUCAUCAUGUAGUGUAACCUGUGGGGAAGAGGAGCAUGGAUGACUGCGUGUGCAUCUGCCAACUGAGUCGUGCAGCCUGAAUUAGUCCGGGACUUUAUUAAUGCUUGUGUUGUUAAUGUAGAUAUGUUAUCGUAUUGAUACUUGCGUUAAGACAAACACUGAGCUGUCUGAUCUCACUCA